This 253-nucleotide ribosomal RNA is filed under the name uncultured bacterium. Its description in RNAcentral is "partial 16S ribosomal RNA". It matches the Rfam family "Bacterial small subunit ribosomal RNA", at positions 524 to 776 of the family's 1533-position model. The record is from RNAcentral.
UACGGGGGGGGUAAGCGUUGUUCGGAAUUACUGGGCGUAAAGGGCUCGUAGGCGGCCAACUAAGUCAGACGUGAAAUCCCUCGGCUUAACCGGGGAACUGCAUCUGAUACUGGAUGGCUUGAGUUCGGGAGAGGGAUGCGGAAUUCCAGGUGUAGCGGUGAAAUGCGUAGAUAUCUGGAGGAACACCGGUGGCGAAGGCGGCAUCCUGGACCGACACUGACGCUGAGGAGCGAAAGCGUGGGGAGCGAACAGG